This 253-nucleotide ribosomal RNA is filed under the name uncultured bacterium. Its description in RNAcentral is "partial 16S ribosomal RNA". It matches the Rfam family "Bacterial small subunit ribosomal RNA", at positions 524 to 776 of the family's 1533-position model. The record is from RNAcentral.
UACGUAGGGUCCGAGCGUUGUCCGGAAUUAUUGGGCGUAAAGGGCUCGUAGGCGGUUUGUCGCGUCGGGAGUGAAAACUCAGGGCUCAACCCUGAGCGUGCUUCCGAUACGGGCAGACUAGAGUGCUGUAGGGGAGACUGGAAUUCCUGGUGUAGCGGUGAAAUGCGCAGAUAUCAGGAGGAACACCGGUGGCGAAGGCGGGUCUCUGGGCAGUAACUGACGCUGAGGAGCGAAAGCGUGGGGAGCGAACAGG